AACCAAGCCCACAGAUCUUCAUUGGGUCCAGCACAGUUAAUGCAGGGCAGGGGUGUUAUUGUUUCUUUUGAUCAAUUUUCUAGGGCCGAUCGCAGGGAUUGGAUUCUCUAAAGCUUGGGUUGUGGAGGUUAUCAACCAAUUGAUCGUUAAAGCCGAGUCUAGUCUGAGCCGGAUUUGGGUUUUAGGCUGGUCUCCCGUGUGUUUUUGUAGACAAAAUGGAACAGAAGUGGAAGACUAUAACUUGCUCAGUGAUGAUUGAAUAAGUUCCAUGCUGAAGGUCCAGCCAAAUGGCGAAGGAAGAUUAGUUAUUUCAGGCACCCAAAUGGAAUCAAAAUUGGCCCUAGGGUCUGAGGAGAGAUCUGAAAUUGAUGAUCUAGCAGGUCAAGAUUACAUGAGUUUUGAACUUUAAUCACUUGAAGGGUUUCGGAAUGGGAAGUAUAGGCCUCUAACCGUGGAAGAAAUGCUAUCUUUCAAGUUUACCGGAGUUCCUAGAGCUAUAAGAUAAGUAUAUGGAUGAACAAAGAUAGGGAAACAAAAGCUGUAGAGGUCAGCAUGAUCAAAUACUAACACCAUCGUGUACAAGCAUGGCAACCUUGGUUAAACCUUUGUUUUCUUUUUUUUCUUUUUUGGAUUUUGAUGAUUUCAGUAAUUUUACAGUUUUAUAUGAAAAAUUUCUUUGUCUA
Molecule: long non-coding RNA, 683 nt
Organism: Diospyros lotus (date-plum)
Lineage: Eukaryota; Viridiplantae; Streptophyta; Magnoliopsida; Ericales; Ebenaceae
Exons: 2
Source: RefSeq, a predicted model, not a curated record